CUGAUUUGAAGAGCUUGCUCAGAUAUGACGAUGGACAUUGCAAAGAGUGGCGAACGGGUGAGUAACACGUGGGAAACCUACCUCUUAGCAGGGGAUAACAUUUGGAAACAGAUGCUAAUACCGUAUAACAAUGACAACCGCAUGGUUGUUAUUUAAAAGAUGGUUCUGCUAUCACUAAGAGAUGGUCCCGCGGUGCAUUAGCUAGUUGGUAAGGUAAUGGCUUACCAAGGCGAUGAUGCAUAGCCGAGUUGAGAGACUGAUCGGCCACAAUGGGACUGAGACACGGCCCAUACUCCUACGGGAGGCAGCAGUAGGGAAUCUUCCACAAUGGGCGAAAGCCUGAUGGAGCAACGCCGCGUGUGUGAUGAAGGGUUUCGGCUCGUAAAACACUGUUGUAAGAGAAGAAUGACAUUGAGAGUAACUGUUCAAUGUGUGACGGUAUCUUACCAGAAAGGAACGGCUAAAUACGUGCCAGCAGCCGCGGUAAUACGUAUGUUCCAAGCGUUAUCCGGAUUUAUUGGGCGUAAAGCGAGCGCAGACGGUUAUUUAAGUCUGAAGUGAAAGCCCUCAGCUCAACUGAGGAAUUGCUUUGGAAACUGGAUGACUUGAGUGCAGUAGAGGAAAGUGGAACUCCAUGUGUAGCGGUGAAAUGCGUAGAUAUAUGGAAGAACACCAGUGGCGAAGGCGGCUUUCUGGACUGUAACUGACGUUGAGGCUCGAAAGUGUGGGUAGCAAACAGGAUUAGAUACCCUGGUAGUCCACACCGUAAACGAUGAGUGCUAGGUGUUUGAGGGUUUCCGCCCUUAAGUGCCGCAGCUAACGCAUUAAGCACUCCGCCUGGGGAGUACGACCGCAAGGUUGAAACUCAAAGGAAUUGACGGGGACCCGCACAAGCGGUGGAGCAUGUGGUUUAAUUCGAAGCAACGCGAAGAACCUUACCAGGUCUUGACAUCCCUUGACAACUCCAGAGAUGGAGCGUUCCCUUCGGGGACAAGGUGACAGGUGGUGCAUGGUUGUCGUCAGCUCGUGUCGUGAGAUGUUGGGUUAAGUCCCGCAACGAGCGCAACCCUUAUUACUAGUUGCCAGCAUUCAGUUGGGCACUCUAGUGAGACUGCCGGUGACAAACCGGAGGAAGGUGGGGAUGACGUCAAAUCAUCAUGCCCCUUAUGACCUGGGCUACACACGUGCUACAAUGGCGUAUACAACGAGUUGCCAACCCGCGAGGGUGAGCUAAUCUCUUAAAGUACGUCUCAGUUCGGAUUGUAGGCUGCAACUCGCCUACAUGAAGUCGGAAUCGCUAGUAAUCGCGGAUCAGCACGCCGCGGUGAAUACGUUCCCGGGUCUUGUACACACCGCCCGUCACACCAUGAGAGUUUGUAACACCCAAAGCCGGUGG
Molecule: ribosomal RNA, 1396 nt
Filed under: Weissella confusa
Lineage: Bacteria; Bacillati; Bacillota; Bacilli; Lactobacillales; Lactobacillaceae
Description: bacterial SSU rRNA
Rfam family: Bacterial small subunit ribosomal RNA
Source: RNAcentral